RNAcentral lists this ribosomal RNA (331 nucleotides) under uncultured bacterium. Its description in RNAcentral is "bacterial SSU rRNA". It matches the Rfam family "Bacterial small subunit ribosomal RNA", at positions 568 to 898 of the family's 1533-position model. The record is from RNAcentral.
CGCGUAGGUGGUAGUGCAAGUCUGAGGUGGAAUCCCAGGGCUUAACCCUGGAACUGCCUUGGAAACUGCAUUACUUGAGUCAGUGAGGGGAGGGUAGAAUUCCUGGUGUAGCGGUGAAAUGCGUAGAUAUCAGGAGGAAGGCCGGUGGCGAAGGCGGCCCUCUGGCGCUGAACUGACACUGAGGCGCGAAAGCGUGGGUAGCAAACAGGAUUAGAUACCCUGGUAGUCCACGCCCUAAACGGUGGGCACUAGGUGUAGGGCUCGUAAGGGUUCUGUGCCGAAGCGAAAGCAUUAAGUGCCCCGCCGUGGGGAGUACGGCCGCAAGGUUGAA